Molecule: long non-coding RNA, 801 nt
Organism: Panicum virgatum (switchgrass)
Lineage: Eukaryota; Viridiplantae; Streptophyta; Magnoliopsida; Poales; Poaceae
Exons: 2
Source: RefSeq, a predicted model, not a curated record
CUUCCCUUCGCUCUUCUUCUUCUUCUUCCUCUGCUCAGAACCGAGCAGAGCCGUGCCGCCGCCGCCCCGACCAUCCCCGGCCGCGUCUCUCUCCGAUUCCUCGCGCCCAAGCCUUCCUCUCCUCCUCCUCCACCUCUGCCGUGCCUCCCCAAGCCCGGUUGAGCCCUACCCCGGCCGGAAUCGGCCUAGCUACCACCAGCCACCAUUGGAGUCCACCCGAACCUCCAACCUCACUGUCGAUCUAUCAUCUCCGGGCCUCUUCGGUCAACCUUGAUAUGCAAAUCGACUCCCCUCAACUCACUGAUGCUCGUGCUCUCCACGUUCCGUCGCAUUCGCGUUGUUUCCGCGCCCGUUCCCGAGCCAUGCCACCGUCGGCAUGCUGCUGCUCGCCGUAAGUCUCGCGCACGCACCCCUGCGCCGCGCCGCCGAGUGCCCUGACUCCGCCUGGCCCUUCUGAACCCUCCCAUGGCCGCCCUGUCGCCGGCCACCCGCCGGAGCGCUGCCACAGGCCGUUGUCACCACUGCCCGGAGUACUGCCCCGCCGCCGACCCUCCUCCGGCCACCUCCGACCCCACCACGACCACCCCCAGUGACCGAACCGUCGGAGAAUGAACCCGUGGAGCUCACCGAGUCCGUUGAACCUGAUCCCGGUGUCCAGUUCGCAGUUGAGCCCGAAGUUAACCCAGGCAAGCAGCUAAGCAUAAUUCCUUGCACCUAUUUAACUUGAUUAGUUUAGUUACCUUACUUGGGUAUUGUUGGGAUAUAUAUAUAUACUAUGUAUGUAUUGCAUUCCUGAACCUA